UCUCUCUCUCUCUCUCUAUAUAUAUAUAUAUAUAUAUAUAUAUAUAUAUAUCCUCUCUCUCUCUCUCCCUCUCUCUCUCUUUCUCUCUCUCUCUCUCUCUUUUCUUGCAAAUUGGUGCUAGAUUUGAAGGUUUAUAAGUUGCUUCUCCCUAAGAAUUUUUUGGUAUAUGUCUUAAGACUUAAAAAAAAACUUAUAUAUAAGUGAAGAUUAGCGUUUUUGGUGGUUUAACCUUGCUUGGUGGAUACUUGUAGAGAGCUUCUCCUUUGGAGCUUCAUGCAUCACUUCAUCAACUUCCAUCUUCCAUGGGAAUCUAAAUCGUCAAAUGUACUUUUGGUUCAAAAGGAAAGAGCUUGGCAUGAUCGCAUUGCACACCCCAGAUUUUAUUUAUGUAUUACCCUUUGAUUUUCUAUUGUUGUUUGAGGAUACAUUAUCAUAUUCCGAUUAUCUUUUUAUUGGAAAUGAAUGAAUGUUGGUUUUUGGAUUAUUCUAAAAAUAAUUUUUUUACCA
This is a long non-coding RNA of Lactuca sativa (garden lettuce), 507 nucleotides long. RefSeq lists it as uncharacterized. The record is from RefSeq and is a predicted model, not a curated record. Lineage: Eukaryota; Viridiplantae; Streptophyta; Magnoliopsida; Asterales; Asteraceae.